AUACAGAGGGUGCGAGCGUUAAUCGGAAUUACUGGGCGUAAAGCGCGCGUAGGCGGCUGAUUAAGUCGGAUGUGAAAUCCCUGGGCUCAACCUAGGAACUGCAUCCGAUACUGGUCAGCUAGAGUUUUGGAGAGGUAAGUGGAAUUUCCGGUGUAGCGGUGAAAUGCAUAGAGAUCGGAAGGAACACCAGUGGCGAAGGCGACUUACUGGCCAAAAACUGACGCUGAGGUGCGAAAGCGUGGGUAGCGAACAGGAUUAGAAACCCGAGUAGUCC
Molecule: ribosomal RNA, 274 nt
Filed under: uncultured bacterium
Lineage: Bacteria
Description: partial 16S ribosomal RNA
Rfam family: Bacterial small subunit ribosomal RNA
Source: RNAcentral